UUCCAGACUCCUACGGGAGGCAGCAGUGGGGAAUAUUGCACAAUGGGGGAAACCCUGAUGCAGCGACGCCGCGUGAGCGAUGAAGUAUUUCGGUAUGUAAAGCUCUAUCAGCAGGGAAGAAGAUGACGGUACCUGACUAAGAAGCCCCGGCUAACUACGUGCCAGCAGCCGCGGUAAUACGUAGAGGGCAAGCGUUAUCCGGAUUUACUGGGUGUAAAGGGAGCGUAGACGGCGAUGCAAGCCAGAUGUGAAAGCCCGGGGCUCAACCCCGGGACUGCAUUUGGAACUGUGUGGCUGGAGUGUCGGAGAGGCAGGCGGAAUUCCUAGUGUAGCGGUGAAAUGCGUAGAUAUUAGGAGGAACACCAGUGGCGAAGGCGGCCUGCUGGACGAUGACUGACGUUGAGGCUCGAAAGCGUGGGGAGCAAACAGGAUUAGAUACCCGAGUA
This 446-nucleotide ribosomal RNA is filed under the name uncultured bacterium. RNAcentral describes it as "bacterial SSU rRNA". It matches the Rfam family "Bacterial small subunit ribosomal RNA", at positions 329 to 792 of the family's 1533-position model. The record is from RNAcentral.